GGGGCCGAUUUUGGUUUCGACUCCGUUCUUCAAGCCAGGGGAAGCGUGCCGGUGCAGGCUAGAGACCACCGUUAAGCGUCGUAGUACAUUGAUAAGCGCCGAGAAUACUCAGCGCGACUACGCUCUCGCUGCCUAAUCUAGCGAAGCGUGUCUGUCAGCCCAGGUUCGUUCCCGGCCUGGAUCCUGGCAUCGUUGAGGGAACUUGCCACACCGUUGUGUUGUCGGGGCGUUGUGGGACUUCUUACUGACAACUGGGCCUGUCAUCCAGACAAGUUCGCCUGAUCUGGAAGGUCGAGCAGAGACUCCGCGCGAACUGCGCACGGAGAAGCCCUGGCGCGAUGACGGAGGACCCGAGUUCGAUUCUCGGCGGCUCCACCA
Molecule: non-coding RNA, 378 nt
Organism: Corynebacterium kroppenstedtii DSM 44385
Lineage: Bacteria; Bacillati; Actinomycetota; Actinomycetes; Mycobacteriales; Corynebacteriaceae
Rfam family: transfer-messenger RNA
About the family: Bacterial tmRNA, also known as 10Sa RNA or SsrA, is named for its dual tRNA and mRNA-like properties.
Source: Rfam